This 434-nucleotide ribosomal RNA is filed under the name bacterium enrichment culture clone ALO1_GLFRUDD03GIW2Z. Its description in RNAcentral is "bacterial SSU rRNA". It matches the Rfam family "Bacterial small subunit ribosomal RNA", at positions 9 to 447 of the family's 1533-position model. The record is from RNAcentral.
GAGUUUGAUCCUGGCUCAGAUUGAACGCUGGCGGCAGGCCUAACACAUGCAAGUCGAGCGGAUGACGGGAGCUUGCUCCUUGAUUCAGCGGCGGACGGGUGAGUAAUGCCUAGGAAUCUGCCUGGUAGUGGGGGACAACGUUUCGAAAGGAACGCUAAUACCGCAUACGUCCUACGGGAGAAAGCAGGGGACCUUCGGGCCUUGCGCUAUCAGAUGAGCCUAGGUCGGAUUAGCUAGUUGGUGGGGUAAUGGCUCACCAAGGCGACGAUCCGUAACUGGUCUGAGAGGAUGAUCAGUCACACUGGAACUGAGACACGGUCCAGACUCCUACGGGAGGCAGCAGUGGGGAAUAUUGGACAAUGGGGGCAACCCUGAUCCAGCCAUGCCGCGUGAGUGAAGAAGGCCUCGGUUGUAAGACUCUUCGUCGAGGGAGG